Molecule: ribosomal RNA, 591 nt
Filed under: Neurospora sp.
Lineage: Eukaryota; Fungi; Ascomycota; Sordariomycetes; Sordariales; Sordariaceae
Description: partial large subunit ribosomal RNA
Rfam family: Eukaryotic large subunit ribosomal RNA
Source: RNAcentral
GCAUAUCAAAAGCGGAGGAAAGGAAACCAACAGGGAUUGCCCUAGUAACGGCGAGUGAAGCGGCAACAGCUCAAAUUUGAAAUCUGGCUUCGGCCCGAGUUGUAAUUUGUAGAGGAAGCUUUUGGUGAGGCACCUUCUGAGUCCCCUGGAACGGGGCGCCAUAGAGGGUGAGAGCCCCGUAUAGUCGGAUGCCGAUCCAAUGUAAAGCUCCUUCGACGAGUCGAGUAGUUUGGGAAUGCUGCUCAAAAUGGGAGGUAAAUUUCUUCUAAAGCUAAAUACCGGCCAGAGACCGAUAGCGCACAAGUAGAGUGAUCGAAAGAUGAAAAGCACUUUGAAAAGAGGGUUAAAUAGCACGUGAAAUUGUUGAAAGGGAAGCGUUUGUGACCAGACUUGCGCCGUUCCGAUCAUCCGGUGUUCUCACCGGUGCACUCGGGGCGGCUCAGGCCAGCAUCGGUUUUGGCGGGGGGAUAAAGGUUCGGGGAACGUAGCUCCUUCGGGAGUGUUAUAGCCCCGGGCGUAAUGCCCUCGCCGGGACCGAGGUUCGCGCAUCUGCAAGGAUGCUGGCGUAAUGGUCAUCAACGACCCGUCUUG